GAUGAAGAACGUAGCGAAAUGCGAUAAGUAAUGUGAAUUGCAGAAUUCAGUGAAUCAUCGAAUCUUUGAACGCACAUUGCGCCCGCUAGUAUUCUGGCGGGCAUGCCUGUCCGAGCGUCAUUUCAACCCUCAAGCCCCCGGGCUUGGUGUUGGGGAUCGGCGAGCCUCCGCGCCCGCCGUCCCCUAAAUCUAGUGGCGGUCUCGCUGUAGCUUCCUCUGCGUAGUAGCACACCUCGCACUGGGAAACAGCGCGGCCACGCCGUAAAACCCCCCCCUUCUGAAAGGUUGACCUCGGAUCAGGUAGGAAUACCCGCUGAACUUAAGCAUAUCAAUAAGCGGAGGA
This 343-nucleotide unclassified non-coding RNA is filed under the name soil metagenome. Its description in RNAcentral is "partial contains 5.8S ribosomal RNA, internal transcribed spacer 2, and large subunit ribosomal RNA". The stretch from base 1 to 120 matches the Rfam family "5.8S ribosomal RNA", at positions 35 to 154 of the family's 154-position model. The record is from RNAcentral.